Molecule: ribosomal RNA, 545 nt
Filed under: uncultured bacterium
Lineage: Bacteria
Description: bacterial SSU rRNA
Rfam family: Archaeal small subunit ribosomal RNA
Source: RNAcentral
AAUAGAUACCCCGGUAGUCCUAGCCGUAAACGAUACUCGCUAGGUGUCGGCCACGGUGCGACCGUUGUCGGUGCCGUAGGGAAGCCGUGAAGCGAGCCACCUGGGAAGUACGGCCGCAAGGCUGAAACUUAAAGGAAUUGGCGGGGGAGCACCACAACGGGUGGAGCUUGCGGUUUAAUUGGAUUCAACGCCGGAAAUCUUACCGGGACCGACAGCAAUAUGAAGGCCAGGCUGAAGACUUUGCCGGAUUAGCUGAGAGGUGGUGCAUGGCCGUCGUCAGUUCGUACUGUGAAGCAUCCUGUUAAGUCAGGCAACGAGCGAGACCCACGCCCACAGUUGCCAGCGUACUCUCUGGAGUGACGGGUACACUGUGGGGACCGCCGCUGCUAAAGCGGAGGAAGGAAUGGGCAACGGUAGGUCAGUAUGCCCCGAAUAUCCCGGGCUACACGCGAGCUACAAUGGUUGUACAAUGGGUAUCUACCCGGAAAGGGACGGAAUCUACCUAAACCAAUCUUAGUUCGGAUUGAGGCUGCAACUCGCCCUCA